GAUGAAGAACGCAGCGAAAUGCGGUAAGUAAUGCGAAUUGCAGAAUUCAGUGAGUCAUCGAAUCUUUGAACGCACAUUGCGCCCUGUGGUAUUCCGCAGGGCAUGCCUGUUCGAGCGUCAUUUCAACCCUCAAGCUCUGCUUGGUGUUGGGCCCUGCCCGCUGCGGCCGGCCCUAAAGACAGUGGCGGUGCCGCCUGGCCCUGAGCGUAGUACAUCUCUCGCUCCAGUGCCCGGUGGUAGCCUGCCAGAACCCCAACUCUCGUGGUUGACCUCGGAUCAGGUAGGGAUACCCGCUGAACUUAAGCAUAUCAAUAAGCGGAGGA
Molecule: unclassified non-coding RNA, 323 nt
Filed under: soil metagenome
Description: partial contains 5.8S ribosomal RNA, internal transcribed spacer 2, and large subunit ribosomal RNA
Rfam family: 5.8S ribosomal RNA (bases 1-120)
Source: RNAcentral